RNAcentral lists this ribosomal RNA (1278 nucleotides) under Porphyromonadaceae bacterium NLAE-zl-C104. Its description in RNAcentral is "bacterial LSU rRNA". It matches the Rfam family "Bacterial large subunit ribosomal RNA", at positions 1 to 1278 of the family's 2925-position model. The record is from RNAcentral. Lineage: Bacteria; Pseudomonadati; Bacteroidota; Bacteroidia; Bacteroidales; Porphyromonadaceae.
GAAAUAAAAGUGAACAAGGGCACAUGGGGGAUGCCUGGGCUCUGGAAGGCGAUGAAGGACGUGAUAAGCUGCGAAAAGCCGCGGGGAUUGGCAAAUACGAAUCGAUCCGCGGAUAUCCGAAUGGGGCAACCCGGCACGCGAAGAGCGUGCCAUUCCACUGUAUGGUGGAAGGCGAACGUGGGGAACUGAAACAUCUAAGUACCCAUAGGAGAAGAAAACAAAAGUGAUUCCCGGAGUAGUGGCGAGCGAAACGGGAAAAGCCCAAACCGGAUCUGUUUCGGCAGGUACGGGGUUGUAGGACCGGGACAUGGCAAGACAUCAAGGAAGUGGAACCAUCUGGAAAGUUGGAUCAAAGAGGGUGAAAAUCCCGUACACGUAUCCCUGACGAAGCCUACCGGUAUCCUGAGUAGCGCGGGACACGAGUAAUCCUGCGUGAAACCGGCGGGACCAUCCGCCAAGGCUAAAUACUCUCCGGAGACCGAUAGUGAACCAGUACCGUGAGGGAAAGGUGAAAAGAACCUCGAACAGAGGAGUGAAAUAGACCCUGAAACCAUGUGCCUGCAAGCGGUCGGAGUCCCGAUUCAUCGGGAUGACGGCGUGCCUUUUGCAUAAUGAACCUACGAGUUACUCUUGCCGGCAAGGUUAAAUACAAGGAUGUAUGCAGCCGCAGCGAAAGCGAGUCUUCACAGGGCGUGGAGUCGGCAGGAGUAGACGCGAAACCAAGUGAUCUACCCUUGGGCAGGUUGAAGUAUUGGUAACACAAUAUGGAGGACCGCACCGGUAAACGUUGAAAAGUUUUCGGAUGACCUGAGGGUAGGGGUGAAAGGCUAAUCAAACUUGGAGAUAGCUCGUACUCCCCGAAAUGCAUUUAGGUGCAGCCUCGGACUACGAACUUAUAUGAGGUAGAGCUACUGAUUGGAUGCGAGGGCUUCGCCGCCUAUCAAGUCCAGCCAAACUCCGAAUGCGUAUAAGUGAUAUCCGGGAGUGAGGGCGCGGGUGCUAAGGUCCGUGUCCGAGAGAGGAACAACUCAGACCAUCAGCUAAGGUCCCGAAAUAUAUGCUCAGUUGCAUUUAACGAAGUCCUGCCGCAGCGACAGCUAGGAUGUUGGCUUGGAAGCAGCCAUUCAUUUAAAGAGUGCGUAACAGCUCACUAGUCGAGUGGCGGGGCGUGGAUAAUAAUCGGGCAUAAGCAUAUUACCGAAGCUAUGGAACCAUAUUCUGGUUGGUAGGGGAGCAUUCCAUCACGGCGUCGAAGGCGCACCGCGAGGUGUUCUGGAG